RNAcentral lists this ribosomal RNA (253 nucleotides) under uncultured bacterium. Its description in RNAcentral is "partial 16S ribosomal RNA". It matches the Rfam family "Bacterial small subunit ribosomal RNA", at positions 524 to 776 of the family's 1533-position model. The record is from RNAcentral.
UACAGAGGUGGCAAGCGUUGUUCGGAAUUACUGGGCGUAAAGGGCGCGUAGGCGGCCAUCUAAGUCAGACGUGAAAUCCCUCGGCUUAACCGGGGAACUGCGUCCGAUACUGGUUGGCUUGAGUUUGGGAGAGGGAUGCGGAAUUCCAGGUGUAGCGGUGAAAUGCGUAGAUAUCUGGAGGAACACCGGUGGCGAAGGCGGCAUCCUGGACCAAUACUGACGCUGAGGAGCGAAAGCCAGGGGAGCAAACGGG